UUAAUGGGGCUUAAAGUUAAUAAUGAACACUAAUCCAUGAUUAAAGUCAUGACUGUUAACUUACUGUCUCAGGCCCCUUCCAUACUGCCAUAUAAUCUAAUUCAAUCUGGAUUUUAUACAGCGGUGUGGAAAGGGCCUCACUGUGCAUUAUGCUGCAAUGUUUGGAUUCAACUCAUUGGUUUGCUGUCUUUAUUGGAAUGCUACUGUGUUUACUUAGGCCUAUUUCACACAGCUGUACAAAAUCCACAUUGAACAGGAUUAUAUGACAGUGUGGACUCAGAUAAUCCAGUUCAAAGCAGAUAUUGAGGAUUAUCUGCCUUGAUAUUCUGGGUUAUAUGGCUGUGUGGAAGAGCCCCUAAAUGCAAAGGUCACUUCUCAGAAAACUGAUUUCUACUUGCUCCAGCAGAGACCAUUCAAACACAUCACCAAUGAGCUACGACCAUUUCUGGAUAAUAAAAUAGCCCUCUCACAAGCUGCGACAGCCCUUCAUUGGCCUGCAGACAUCCUCCAAAUCCUUAAUACUAUUCACAACAGGAUAUAUAACAUAGACGGCAAUAAAGGAACAAGACCAUGACACAAACCCAGAUGCCCAUUGCCCACUCUGUCUUCAUAUCUAUUCUGGAAGCAAUAUUAUAAGGGCCAAUAACAUUGCAUAUAAUAUCAGAGGUACAUUUAUUUGCUCUUCCUCCUAUGCCAGCAAUGCCCUUUAUGCUGGACAAACAGGCUAGUCUCUACACAAGAGGAUACAUGGGCACACAUUUGACAGUAGAAAUUGGAAUAAUCAAAAUUGCAGAACAGUUCAACCUUCCUGUACAUUUAGAAAGAUUAGAAAUGAAACAGAUGAAUUAAAUUAUAUUCACAAAUUCCAAACCACUAUAAGAGGUAUGAACAAAGGUAGUGUUUCAUGGCAACACUAAGCAUACAAACUCAUAAUACCCACUAUUGCACAUAUAAGAAAAAGAAUGUUCUCAUACAUUAUUUUGAACCAAAGCAAAAUGACCUUUUGUAAGAAUAAUUAUUACUUUCAUUACUUUUGGAAGAGACCACCAUACAAUCCUGACCUGGUUCUCUGUGUUUUAUCUUUGCUUAACCUCAAAACCCACUGCAACAGACAUCAUUUUGGGAUAAUUGAAAACAUCCAGGCAUCUGUAACAAAACCUUUGAACAACAUCUCAAGUGAAGACACAGACCCCUUUCACACUACCAGAUUAUCCAGAUUAUCAAAACAGUUAAUACAUAUUAUCUGCUUUGAACUAGAUUAUAUGAGUCUAUAUUGUCAUAUAAUACAGUUCAAAGCAGAUAAUGUGGGGUUUUAUUCAGGAAGGGAUCUGUGUUUUAAGAACAAGAAAAAUUGUGAGUUUUUCUAUUGUAAUGUGGAACCUGUCAAAAAUGGUGCCGUUUAUUUAUUGCCGGAACCGAGCACAGGCUCCAAAGAUGCCAAAAGAUGGGAAAGCCUAUAUAUACCUCUAUCUUUUGUCAAAAAAUACAAAUUAAAAUGGACAUUUAAAAUCGAAUAAUAAAAUACAAUUAAAACAAUUAGAGACACUUA
Molecule: long non-coding RNA, 1549 nt
Filed under: Anolis carolinensis (green anole)
Lineage: Eukaryota; Metazoa; Chordata; Lepidosauria; Squamata; Anolidae
Description: lncRNA (ENSACAG00000038076.1)
Source: RNAcentral